GUCAGGAUUUAUUUAUUUUGGCUCAUUUGUGGUCACAGCUGGGCAAUCACACCUUCUUCCAUUCUGGUCUUAAUUCCACAUCCACACACUCAAGUCACACAUCACACUUCACAAGGAUAUACAGAUAGGUCACAGAAAGACCGAGAAACAGUUAAGACAGCUGUGGGGUCACAGGAUGCUGAGUCCAGGGCACAGGCAGAGAGAGGACUGCAGAGUCGCAGGGCCACUGCAGGUGGUCAGAUGAGGGCGGUCAAGGCAGGGGUUCCCGACAGCCUACAGUGUCAGGCCGUGUCAGCUUAGAGUGUCAGUUCAAGGCUCGGAGUGGGACUUGGGUGGGGGUCAGGGGACUCCUCUAAAACCGGAGGAUGAGCUUCAGAAGUUUGUUGCUGUGGCAAUUUUCCUGGGCAAACCUUGGUGACCAGGUGACCAGGCGACGGGGUGAAGGUGCCUCCAUGUCCACCCCUGAGGUGUUCCCCUUUUAUGGACCUCGAGGGAGGGCUUGAUUCGUUUGGUGAUCUGGUGUGUUCAAUAGCCCAAGAGACUGGUUUUUCACGCCUUCUGUCAGGACACAGGUGGUCACUUUUACUGAACAACUAAUUUAUUCUCAGUUUGUGCCUAAAUCGUGGUGCCAGGGAGAAGGUGUUGUUCACUUGAAAAAGCACAGUACGGAGUCAUCCACCAAUGCAAAAUGAAACAGCUCAUGGCAAACUACCACCUAACAAGAUGGAGGACUAAGGUUUAGGCACAAUGUAAGAACUGUCCACACCCCAAGGGGGCACGGAGCACAGGUGAAACAUGAGGACUGCUGUACACCAUGGAGUCACUAGGCAGGUGCGUCAUGAGAGUUGCUGUUCCACACACCACAGAGUCACCCAGGGCAGUCUCCGCCUGAGGUCUGCUGUUGCACACACCAUGGAGUCACAAGGGCAGACACGGCCGGCUGGAGAGUUGCUCUUCUACACACCAUGGAGACACCCUGAUCAGGCACAGCUGACAGUCGCUGACCCAUACACCAUGGAGACACCCUGAUCAGGCACAGCUGACAGUCGCUGACCCAUACACCAUGGAGUCACCCUGAUCAGGCACAGCUGACAGUCACUGACCCAUACACCAUGGAGACACCCUGGUCAGGCACAGCUGACAGUCGCUGACCCAUACACCAUGGAGUCACCCUGGUCAGGCACAGCUGACAGUCACUGACCCAUACACCAUGGAGACACCCUGAUCAGGCACAGCUGACAAUGGCUGACCCAUACACCAUGGAGUCACCCUGGUCAGGCACAGCUGACAGUCGCUGACC
RNAcentral lists this long non-coding RNA (1300 nucleotides) under Marmota monax (woodchuck). The record is from RNAcentral. Lineage: Eukaryota; Metazoa; Chordata; Mammalia; Rodentia; Sciuridae.